AUUGAACGCUGGCGGCAGGCCUAACACAUGCAAGUCGAGCGGAUGAAGGGAGCUUGCUCCUGGAUUCAGCGGCGGACGGGUGAGUAAUGCCUAGGAAUCUGCCUGGUAGUGGGGGAUAACGUCCGGAAACGGGCGCUAAUACCGCAUACGUCCUGAGGGAGAAAGUGGGGGAUCUUCGGACCUCACGCUAUCAGAUGAGCCUAGGUCGGAUUAGCUAGUUGGUGGGGUAAAGGCCUACCAAGGCGACGAUACGUAACUGGUCUGAGAGGAUGAUCAGUCACACUGGAACUGAGACACGGUCCAGACUCCUACGGGAGGCAGCAGUGGGGAAUAUUAGACAAUGGGCGAAAGCCUUAUCCAGCCAUGCCGCGUGUGUGACGAAGGUCUUCGGAUUGUAAAGCACUUUAAGUUGGGAGGAAGGGCAGUAAGUUAAUACCUUGCUGUUUUGACGUUACCAACAGAAUAAGCACCGGCUAACUUCGUG
RNAcentral lists this ribosomal RNA (484 nucleotides) under uncultured bacterium. RNAcentral describes it as "partial 16S ribosomal RNA". It matches the Rfam family "Bacterial small subunit ribosomal RNA", at positions 30 to 507 of the family's 1533-position model. The record is from RNAcentral.